RNAcentral lists this ribosomal RNA (253 nucleotides) under uncultured bacterium. RNAcentral's name for it is "partial 16S ribosomal RNA". It matches the Rfam family "Bacterial small subunit ribosomal RNA", at positions 524 to 776 of the family's 1533-position model. The record is from RNAcentral.
UACGGAGGUGGCUAGCGUUGUUCGGAAUUACUGGGCGUAAAGCGCGCGUAGGCGGACCUGCAAGUCGGGGGUGAAAGCCCGAGGCUUAACCUCGGAACUGCCUUCGAUACUGCGGGUCUCGAGUCCGGGAGAGGUGAGUGGAAUUCCUAGUGUAGAGGUGAAAUUCGUAGAUAUUAGGAAGAACACCAGUGGCGAGGGCGGCUCACUGGCCCGGUACUGACGCUGAGGAGCGAAAGCCAGGGGAGCAAACGGG